AUUUUCAUGAAACUGAGGGGUACCAGGUAUAUUUCCAAACGUGCGAGGGUAUUGCGUGAAUUUCCUGAAAACUCGGGAGUACUUAGUGAAAAAAUCAUAGAUUUUAUAUGAUAUAAUUGUCUUUCUAUAGUUAGUUUUUAUAUGAUAUAGUCUUUUUUUAUUAAUUGGUUAUCAUCAUACAUAUACUUGGGUUUACAAUAAAUUAUUCUAAAUUUGGUCCACCCAAGAUUUACCACCCUAUGUUUAUUAUUUAGUGUAACACCCCGUAUUUUUAUACCCGUUCAAUAAUUAUCUGUAUUAAUUUAUUUAAUGAAAAUGAUUUCAGAUUUCUUUUAUUAAAAAUACUUUUUUACUAGCUUUGACUUUACCUUUAAAGUGGUUAAAAAAAACUGAUUCCUAAAUUUUCUAGGUUAAAACCUAGCUAACCUUAUUAUAAAGAUAGAGUAAGAAAAGAAAACAAACAAAAAAAAAAAAAGAAAGAAAGGAGCUUUCACGUUUCCCGGCCAACCAAAACUAAACAAAAAAAAAAAAAAAAAACAAAGCUUUCCUCACAGUUCUAUCAUCUUCAUCUCCAUUUAUUUUCCCCUUAUUUUUGACUCAAUACCCUAAAUUCACGAAUUUUGUUCAACUUUCUUCACAAUUCAACCUUUCUUCAUCUAUCUUUUACAAUACUUAGAUAUUGAGAGUAUUUCAAAGAGGGAAAAUUUGGGUUUUACUUUGGACGAUUUUGGGACAAACUUCGGAUCGAAAGUGCGAAUUUUGGGUCUCUUAUUGUGUAAUUUUAUCUUCCCUUAAUCAAAUUGCGGGUUCGUAGAGGAACCUUUUUGACUUGAUAUUGAGAUUUGCUAACUUUGAUUGCUGAUAAGGGACUUGAAGAUAGUUAGCUCCAGUUGGGUUAAAGAGUGCGUUGGAUCCCUUUUGAUUUAAUAGGACUUUAAAAAGACUUCCGCUCUUAUUUAUUUAUAAGAUUUAUAUUCUGGUUUGUAAUAAUUAUUUUACAGUCUAUUUAGUUGGUCUGUAAUAAUUAGUUAAAACUUAUUGGUUAUUGUUUUAGUUAGAACCAUUAGCCUUGCAAUUAUUAUUAAUAAUUAUCGCGGCGUAGCACCUUCGGAUUUCCGAGUUUAUUUUUAUUAAGUUGAUUUUAGAAGUAUUGAAAAUUCAGGGUUGUUACAUUUAGUAC
Long non-coding RNA from Beta vulgaris subsp. vulgaris (sugar beet), 1180 nucleotides. RefSeq lists it as uncharacterized. The transcript is spliced from 3 exons. The record is from RefSeq and is a predicted model, not a curated record. NCBI's taxonomy places the organism in Eukaryota, Viridiplantae, Streptophyta, Magnoliopsida, Caryophyllales, Amaranthaceae.